GAUGAAGAACGUAGCGAAAUGCGAUAAGUAGUGUGAAUUGCAGAAUCCCGUGAACCAUCGAGUCUUUGAACGCAAGUUGCGCCCGAAGCCACUAGGCCGAGGGCACGCCUGCCUGGGCGUCACACGCCGUUGCCCCCCCAUCUACUCCUUCGGGAUUGCGGGGGGGCGGAUGAUGGCCUCCCGUGCGCCUAGCCGCGCGGUUGGCAUAAAUACCAAGUCCUCGGCGACGCACGCCACGACAAUCGGUGGUUGCGAAACCUCGGUUGCCCGUCGUGUGCGUUCGUCGCGCAUCGAGGGCUCGAAAAAAUGCUCGGCUCCGGCUGGGCUUUCAACGCGACCCCAGGUCAGGCGGGGUUACCCGCUGAAUUUAAGCAUAUCAAUAAGCGGAGGA
Molecule: unclassified non-coding RNA, 391 nt
Filed under: soil metagenome
Description: partial contains 5.8S ribosomal RNA, internal transcribed spacer 2, and large subunit ribosomal RNA
Rfam family: 5.8S ribosomal RNA (bases 1-122)
Source: RNAcentral